GCAAAAUGACCUGGACUCGAAUCAGAUUACCGAUUUCUUGGGGGAUUUCGCCAUGGAAUCUAUUGUUUGAAAUGUUGAGGGAAUGAAGAAAAGUGAGAUUCCCUAUGGAAGGAGAUAUGCUUCCUCCCAAGCCCUUCCCUUGUAAAUCCAAUCUGAUAACCCGUUGUUGAUGACGGUGGCCACAUGAGAUCCCUACCCAAUGGCAGAAAUGGAUGGAAUCAUUCCA
Molecule: long non-coding RNA, 226 nt
Organism: Telopea speciosissima
Lineage: Eukaryota; Viridiplantae; Streptophyta; Magnoliopsida; Proteales; Proteaceae
Exons: 3
Source: RefSeq, a predicted model, not a curated record